CGACUUUAAAACUUGCCUAUAGG
RNAcentral lists this non-coding RNA (23 nucleotides) under Arabidopsis thaliana (thale cress). The record is from RNAcentral. Lineage: Eukaryota; Viridiplantae; Streptophyta; Magnoliopsida; Brassicales; Brassicaceae.